CACCUUCUGUUUCCUCAUCUCUUAGAUCUGAAUAUUGGUCGAAGUGGCUAAAAAACGAGGGAAAGUUAAACGGAAAUGGGCUUGGAGUCUUUAGUGACCUACAAGUUCAUUUCAAACAUAA
RNAcentral lists this small nucleolar RNA (121 nucleotides) under Echinops telfairi (small Madagascar hedgehog). RNAcentral's name for it is "Small nucleolar RNA SNORA61 (ENSETEG00000025976.1)". Lineage: Eukaryota; Metazoa; Chordata; Mammalia; Afrosoricida; Tenrecidae. The record is from RNAcentral.